This 610-nucleotide ribosomal RNA is filed under the name Glomus sp. ZJ. Its description in RNAcentral is "SSU rRNA". It matches the Rfam family "Eukaryotic small subunit ribosomal RNA", at positions 644 to 1255 of the family's 1831-position model. The record is from RNAcentral. Lineage: Eukaryota; Fungi; Glomeromycota; Glomeromycetes; Glomerales; Glomeraceae.
GGGUUAGUAGGUUGGUCAUGCCUCUGGUAUGUACUGAUCUCUCUGAUUCCUCCCUCUUGACGAACUGUAAUGUCAUUAAUUUGGUGUUGCAGGAAAUCAGGACUGUUACUUUGAAAAAAUUAGAGUGUUUAAAGCAGGCUAAGGCUUGAAUACAUUAGCAUGGAAUAAUGAAAUAGGACGUUUGAACCUAUUUUGUUGGUUUCUAGGAUCGACGUAAUGAUUAAUAGGGAUAGUUGGGGGCAUUAGUAUUCAAUUGUCAGAGGUGAAAUUCUUGGAUUUAUUGAAGACUAACUACUGCGAAAGCAUUUGCCAAGGAUGUUUUCAUUAAUCAAGAACGAAAGUUAGGGGAUCGAAGACGAUCAGAUACCGUCGUAGUCUUAACCAUAAACUAUGCCGACUAGGGAUCGGAUGAUGUUAAUUUUUUAAUGACUCAUUCGGCGCCUUACGGGAAACCAAAGUGUUUGGGUUCCGGGGGGAGUAUGGUCGCAAGGCUGAAACUUAAAGGAAUUGACGGAAGGGCACCACCAGGGGUGGAGCCUGCGGCUUAAUUUGACUCAACACGGGGAAACUCACCAGGUCCAGACAUAGUAAGGAUUGACAGAUUGAGAGC